AGGACUGGGAGAUACGGACGA
This 21-nucleotide microRNA is filed under the name Callithrix jacchus (white-tufted-ear marmoset). Its description in RNAcentral is "cja-miR-9907". The record is from miRBase by way of RNAcentral. Lineage: Eukaryota; Metazoa; Chordata; Mammalia; Primates; Cebidae.